This is a long non-coding RNA of Tachyglossus aculeatus (Australian echidna), 612 nucleotides long. RefSeq lists it as uncharacterized. The transcript is spliced from 4 exons. Lineage: Eukaryota; Metazoa; Chordata; Mammalia; Monotremata; Tachyglossidae. The record is from RefSeq and is a predicted model, not a curated record.
AAAGGUUCUCCUUCUCAAUGUCUGUCUCGCCCAUGUUCAUUUCUUUCAAUGGCAAGAUGAAGAGAAGCAUGUUGAAAUGAGAGCAAAAUGAAGACGAAGAUACCUGCAUUGCCCCUUUGCUGGUGGUUGGAGCAGGCCAUGCUGCUUCUCUUUACAUUGACUAAUCCAUCUUCCCUUGAAGAUGUGGAAAGGCACCUGCAGAUUCCUGCCAUUUCCAGAACUAGAGAUCAACUGCUGUUUCAUCUAGCCUCAGUAGAUGUGAGCUGAAUCGUCUUGAUUUCAUCUCCUGGUUUGUGUGCUACCGAGGCCAGCACUGACCUGAAGUGUUUCAGAAUUCAUCUUUGCUAUUGUCUUAUACACCACAGAGCAAAAGGCUAUGAGCUUCAGAGGAUAUUGCCAGAACUUAAAAAAGAAACUACUCUGCAACAUCUUUUGAAGUUAAAGAAAACGUGAAAGAAAUAGGGUUUGAGACAGGAGAACUGUGGAAAUCUCACAAAUAAAUAAUGGCUCCCAGUGAACAGGGGUAAGGUUUUACCGUGAACCACCCUGUUGUUCUUGCCACUGAUCUCUUUGACUCGACCUACCACUGCCAACACCACCUGCUCUAAGUGA